Molecule: long non-coding RNA, 344 nt
Filed under: Cricetulus griseus (Chinese hamster)
Lineage: Eukaryota; Metazoa; Chordata; Mammalia; Rodentia; Cricetidae
Description: lncRNA (ENSCGRG00015032213.1)
Source: RNAcentral
CAACAAACAAACAAACAGAAUACUGCCUGACAGAGACUAGAUCUUACAACCAAAGAUCAUUCGGACCUCUUCAGAAUUCUGCCUGUGGCUGCUGCUCCUAAUCCCAAGGGCCAGGACAUUCCUUAUAAACUGGGAAUCCCUUAAACUCACCAAUGGAUGGAUUUGUCGGUGGGACUCUUGCUUUGUUCCCAUCAACAUGUUCUGCUUAGCUGAAGGUGUGAGCAUGGUCUUCAGACCCACCCCAGGAGAAAUGAUUGCUUGUCAUCUAACUAACUUUCUUCUCUGACUCAGUCAAGUGUUUCCAGAGGUGUGGGCGUCAAUGAACUAAAACGCAGCUGAGACUU